Molecule: long non-coding RNA, 556 nt
Organism: Manis javanica (Malayan pangolin)
Lineage: Eukaryota; Metazoa; Chordata; Mammalia; Pholidota; Manidae
Source: RefSeq, a predicted model, not a curated record
GAAUUAUCAAACCGACACCAGUAAGAAGCACCAUGGACAGGACUCCAUUCUGAGAAUAAAGACCGACUUCCCUUUAAUGAAGAGGACAAAGAAACAAUGGAUCAGACUAAAAGCCCAGCAGCUCUGGAAAAAAUCAUCGACAGCCUUGCAAGAGCUGCAGGAAACCCUCCCAAGCAAAGAAGAAAGAAGCGUAAAUGUCUGUUCAAAGGCGCCAAAAACCAUGAGGAGAAACAGAGCCUAAGCUGAGAGCUCGAGCCUGCUGGCAGGGCCCCCGCUGACUCACCGCUGGGCGGGGGCGUGAAAGGGAAUUACUGACCGUUCUGUGCAAAGGUGAAUCGUUUUAUUCAAGGAGCGCCAAAUAAAACAAACACGUUGAAAUAUUAAGUCAGAGGCAGUGCACUUUUUUUCCUUAAGCAAAAGAAGAAAUGAAAAUCUAAUUGAGCCUGAAAAAUUCUAAGAGUGCCCGAAGCUUGCUGUUUUCUGACUGGGUGAGCUUCCAAGGGACCUCAGAACCUGUGUAGUCAUCAGGGAACCCCAGAGAAGCAAGGACGAGAUG